RNAcentral lists this ribosomal RNA (591 nucleotides) under uncultured bacterium. Its description in RNAcentral is "bacterial SSU rRNA". It matches the Rfam family "Bacterial small subunit ribosomal RNA", at positions 143 to 731 of the family's 1533-position model. The record is from RNAcentral.
AUAACGUCCCGAAACGGGCGCUAAUACCGCAUACGUCCUACGGAGAAAACAGGGACCUUCGGGCCUUGCGCUAUCAGAUGAGCCUAGGUCGGAUUAGCUAAUUGGUGAGUUAAUGGCUCACCAAGGCGACGAUCCGUAACUGGUCUGAGAGGAUGAUCAGUCACACUGGAACUGAGACACGGUCCAGACUCCUACGGGAGGCAGCAGUGGGGAAUAUUGGACAAUGGGCGAAAGCCUGAUCCAGCCAUGCCGCGUGUGUGAAGAAGGUCUUCGGAUUGUAAAGCACUUUAAGUUGGGAGGAAGGGCAUUAACCUAAUACGUUAGUGUUUUGACGUUACCGACAGAAUAAGCACCGGCUAACUUCGUGCCAGCAGCCGCGGUAAUACGAAGGGUGCAAGCGUUAAUCGAAAUUACUGGGCGUAAAGCGCGCGUAGGUGGUUCGGUAAGAUGGAAGUGAAAGCCCCGGGCUCAACCUGGGAACUGCCUUCAUAACUGCCGAGCUAGAGUACGGUAGAGGGUAGUGGAAUUUCCUGUGUAGCGGUGAAAUGCGUAGAUAUAGGAAGGAACACCAGUGGCGAAGGCGACUACCUG